UUCCCUUUUCACAACUCAAAAUCCCCAGAAUUGAACCCUAGGUAGCCAACUCCUCAAAUUCGAGAGCCCGUCGCCCCCUUCUUCUCCGGCGAGACCGUCGUUCGGUCGGGACCCGCCGGCGCCACGUACCUAACUCCACCAUUACCUCAUUAUAUCGACUCCUCUUUCUCAUUCCUUAUCUUCAAAGAAAUCUCUAAUCAAAAACCCUAAACACAAAAACAAAUCCCUCAAAUUGAAAGGGAUUUGAUGAGUAUGAAGGGUUUUUUUUUUAUAGAGGAGGGUGUGUACUGAGUGUAGAAUUAGAGGCUGCCGAGAUUGGUUAGGAGCAAAGAUGCAGAGCUGCUGCAACUGUGCUGCGGCUGCCCCCUUUCAGACUAGUGGCAGCGUUCGGUUAUGAGCUGAGAAGUGCAAGAGUUGCUGCUAUAUUGCCCCUUCUGACAAGCCUCUGGUCUUCCACCUAAAGGUUCUUGUAUUCCAAGGAGAAAGUGAAGUUUGGUUGGCUGUGGCCGCUGGUAGUCCUCGGCGAACAGACCGCACUCACGGCUAGAAAUAGAGACGACUUGGGUUCUUGAAGAAUAGAUACAAGCAGUGGCGGAUCCAGGAAUUUAUAUUCGGGGGUGCGACUUGCGAGUCAUAUGAUAAAUCAUUAUAUAACAUACCAAAAAUAAAAAUUAAUACUAAAAGCAAUAUAUUUUGAAAUAUA
Molecule: long non-coding RNA, 703 nt
Organism: Salvia splendens (bonfire salvia)
Lineage: Eukaryota; Viridiplantae; Streptophyta; Magnoliopsida; Lamiales; Lamiaceae
Exons: 3
Source: RefSeq, a predicted model, not a curated record